This 218-nucleotide unclassified non-coding RNA is filed under the name Hevea brasiliensis (rubber tree). Lineage: Eukaryota; Viridiplantae; Streptophyta; Magnoliopsida; Malpighiales; Euphorbiaceae. The record is from RNAcentral.
UGCAUGAAAGUGGAUUUAGUGCCUGGAAAAGUUAAGAUACAUAAUUAACCAUGUGAGAGUGGAGAACCUCUUAAAGUAGAUGGCAAAGGAACGAAUAACAUGCAACCAUGUACAUGUCAUAAUCUUAAUUGUACUCAACUACCUAUCCCACUGUUUCAGAACCUAAUAACAUACAGUGGUGGAUGGUGUUGGCAAUACUGAUGUAUUAUUAGGUUCUG